Molecule: long non-coding RNA, 618 nt
Filed under: Homo sapiens (human)
Lineage: Eukaryota; Metazoa; Chordata; Mammalia; Primates; Hominidae
Description: HSALNT0020298
Source: RNAcentral
CGAGGCAGGAGGGAAAGGCAGCAUGAUUCACAGACUGGAGGGUGACAGUGACCAGAGCAAGUUUAACCUUUUAAAGAGGAAGGAUCUGUUGCUUGGCUACCAGGCAACAAGGAAGGCUACUCAGAGAGGGGUCCCCACAAGGGAUGAGGGACAAGUUGCCUAACCCUGUGGCAGACGGCUCUGCUUCUCUUCAUGCCCCCGCUUCCUUUACCUACUCCUGCCUCCUCCCCACCUAUCAGAGUCACUGCCACCUCCCGGGAAGCUGAGAGGGUUUAUCAUCAAAUCAGGCUUUGUCAUAAAGAAAACAGAUUUAUUUUCCUCGCUUUGAGAAGGUGCUGACAGGAGCAGCGAGGGAAGGGGUGUUUUGUAUAUUGAAAGCCUUUCUCCCCCUGUGGCUAAAUCUCGCGCUAUUUUCUAAUUUACCUCAAAUGCUGCUCCUCCAGCCUGCCUCUCCAUACGCCCACGCUUUCAACCCCUACCUGUGAGCCUCUGCCCACCGGACCGGCUCACUUCUAGUCAUUCCUUCAUUCAAUGUAUUUCCCUUGUUCAGGAUGUAGAGGCCUUUCUUACAUGCCAGGGACUCCAGGUGCUGGAGAUGUGAGACAUACAGCAGGGCAA